Vicia faba (fava bean) is the source of this 231-nucleotide non-coding RNA. The record is from the annotation of a GenBank genome assembly. NCBI's taxonomy places the organism in Eukaryota, Viridiplantae, Streptophyta, Magnoliopsida, Fabales, Fabaceae.
AUGCAAGGCUUUUAUGACUUUUGUAAACUGAUUUAUUAUAGGUACAAAUGUAUGAUUGAAUCCCCUUUUACAUUUCAGUGCAACCACUACAUUUCAGCUUUGAAUUCCUUCUGUUUUAAUCAUCUGGCCUUGAGAAUUUACACGCAUUUUGCAAUCUUUUUUCUAAUUUCUAUUUUAAUCAAACUUCAAACUUAUUUUAAAACUAUAAACAGACCGCUUAUUGGAGAGUGA